RNAcentral lists this ribosomal RNA (955 nucleotides) under Kluyveromyces dobzhanskii. RNAcentral's name for it is "LSU rRNA". The stretch from base 356 to 955 matches the Rfam family "Eukaryotic large subunit ribosomal RNA", at positions 1 to 642 of the family's 3401-position model. The record is from RNAcentral. Lineage: Eukaryota; Fungi; Ascomycota; Saccharomycetes; Saccharomycetales; Saccharomycetaceae.
CGAAUUGCGAUAUGUAUUGUGAAUUGCAGAUUUUCGUGAAUCAUCAAAUCUUUGAACGCACAUUGCGCCCUCUGGUAUUCCAGGGGGCAUGCCUGUUUGAGCGUCAUUUCUCUCUCAAACCUUUGGGUUUGGUAGUGAGUGAUACUCGUUUCCGGGUUAACUUGAAAGUGGCUAGCCGUUGCCUUCUGCGUGAGCAGGGCUGCGUGUCAAGUCUAUGGACUCGACUCUUGCACAUCUACGUCUUAGGUUUGCGCCAAUUCGUGGUAAGCUUGGGUCAAAGAGCUUAUAGGUGUUAUAAAGACUCGCUGGUGUUUGUCUCCUUGAGGCAUACGGCUUAACCAAAACUCUCAAAGUUUGACCUCAAAUCAGGUAGGAAUACCCGCUGAACUUAAGCAUAUCAAUAAGCGGAGGAAAAGAAACCAACCGGGAUUGCCUUAGUAACGGCGAGUGAAGCGGCAAAAGCUCAAAUUUGAAAUCUGGCGUCUUCGACGUCCGAGUUGUAAUUUGAAGAAGGUUACUUUGUAGCUGGUCCUUGUUUAUGUUCCUUGGAACAGGACGUCAUAGAGGGUGAGAAUCCCGUGUGGCGAGGAUACCAGUUAUAUGUAAAGUACUUUCGACGAGUCGAGUUGUUUGGGAAUGCAGCUCUAAGUGGGUGGUAAAUUCCAUCUAAAGCUAAAUAUUGGCGAGAGACCGAUAGCGAACAAGUACAGUGAUGGAAAGAUGAAAAGAACUUUGAAAAGAGAGUGAAAAAGUACGUGAAAUUGUUGAAAGGGAAGGGCAUUUGAUCAGACAUGGCGUUUGCUUCGGCUUUCGCUGGGCCAGCAUCAGUUUUGGCGGCUGGAUAAAUCCUCGGGAAUGUGGCUCUACCGUGGUAGAGUGUUAUAGCCCGUGGGAAUACAGCCAGCUGGGACUGAGGAUUGCGACUUUUGUCAAGGAUGCUGGCGUAAUGGUUAAU